AACGAACGCUGGCGGCAUGCCUAACACAUGCAAGUCGAACGAAGGCUUCGGCCUUAGUGGCGCACGGGUGCGUAACGCGUGGGAAUCUGCCUUUCGGUACGGAAUAACUCAGAGAAAUUUGAGCUAAUACCGUAUGAUGUCGCGAGACCAAAGAUUUAUCGCCGAGAGAUGAGCCCGCGUUGGAUUAGCUAGUUGGUGGGGUAAAGGCCUACCAAGGCGACGAUCCAUAGCUGGUCUGAGAGGAUGAUCAGCCACACUGGGACUGAGACACGGCCCAGACUCCUACGGGAGGCAGCAGUGGGGAAUAUUGGACAAUGGGCGAAAGCCUGAUCCAGCAAUGCCGCGUGAGUGAUGAAGGCCUUAGGGUUGUAAAGCUCUUUUACC
RNAcentral lists this ribosomal RNA (384 nucleotides) under uncultured bacterium. RNAcentral describes it as "bacterial SSU rRNA". It matches the Rfam family "Bacterial small subunit ribosomal RNA", at positions 29 to 440 of the family's 1533-position model. The record is from RNAcentral.